Molecule: transfer RNA, 67 nt
Filed under: Notochthamalus scabrosus
Lineage: Eukaryota; Metazoa; Arthropoda; Thecostraca; Balanomorpha; Chthamalidae
Description: tRNA-Thr
Source: RNAcentral
AGUCUACGUAAUUUAUCCAAAAUACCGGUCUUGUAAACCGGAAAAAGGCUUCCUCCCUCUUAGACUG